GACGAACGCUGGCGGCGUGCUUAACACAUGCAAGUCGAACGGAAAGGCCCUGCUUUUGUUGGGUGCUCGAUUGGCGAACGGGUGAGUAACACGUGAGUAUCCUGCCCUUGACUUUCGGAUAACUUCAGGAAACUGGGGCUAUUACCGGAUAUGAGCUCCUGCUGCACGGUGGGGGUUGGAAAGUUUCGGCGGUUGUGGCUGGACUCGCGGCUUAUCAGCUUGUUUGUGUGGUAGUGGCUUACCAAGGCUUUGACGGAUAGCCUGCCUGAGAGGGUGACCGGCGACCAUGCGCCUAAGGUACGGCGCAGACUCCAACGGGAGGCAACAGUGGGGAAUAUUGCACAGUGGGGGGAAGCCUGAUACAGCAACGCCGCGUGCGGGAUGACGGCCUUCGGGUUGAGAACCGCUUUCGCCUGUGACGAAGCGUGAGUGACGGUAAUGAGUAAAGAAGCACCGGCUAACUACGUG
RNAcentral lists this ribosomal RNA (468 nucleotides) under uncultured bacterium. RNAcentral's name for it is "partial 16S ribosomal RNA". It matches the Rfam family "Bacterial small subunit ribosomal RNA", at positions 28 to 507 of the family's 1533-position model. The record is from RNAcentral.